UGUGAUCCUGGCUCAGAUUGAACGCUGGCGGCAUGCCUUACACAUGCAAGUCGAACGGCAGCACGGGGGCAACCCUGGUGGCGAGUGGCGAACGGGUGAGUAAUACAUCGGAACGUGUCCUGUAGUGGGGGAUAGCCCGGCGAAAGCCGGAUUAAUACCGCAUACGCUCUACGGAGGAAAGGGGGGGAUCUCAGGACCUCCCGCUACAGGGGCGGCCGAUGGCAGAUUAGCUAGUUGGUGGGGUAAAGGCCUACCAAGGCGACGAUCUGUAGCUGGUCUGAGAGGACGACCAGCCACACUGGGACUGAGACACGGCCCAGACUCCUACGGGAGGCAGCAGUGGGGAAUUUUGGACAAUGGGCGAAAGCCUGAUCCAGCAAUGCCGCGUGUGUGAAGAAGGCCUUCGGGUUGUAAAGCACUUUUGUCCGGAAAGAAAACCUCCGCCCUAAUAUGGUGGGGGGAUGACGGUACCGGAAGAAUAAGCACCGGC
Molecule: ribosomal RNA, 490 nt
Filed under: Burkholderia sp. EPML117
Lineage: Bacteria; Pseudomonadati; Pseudomonadota; Betaproteobacteria; Burkholderiales; Burkholderiaceae
Description: bacterial SSU rRNA
Rfam family: Bacterial small subunit ribosomal RNA
Source: RNAcentral